AGCUUUGCGCAGUGGCGAUAUCGUAACCAAUGAGGUACAUCCGAGGUGCGAUUAUUGCUAGUUGAAAACUAAAACUAAAAACUAAACUAAUAAUCAAUUUCCAUAUACAUAAACGCUUUUACUAUGUUCAACCUUUUGUGAACUUAGCCAUGUUACAUUAAAAAUUACUGAUUUAACAUUUGUU
Molecule: small nuclear RNA, 184 nt
Organism: Culex quinquefasciatus (southern house mosquito)
Lineage: Eukaryota; Metazoa; Arthropoda; Insecta; Diptera; Culicidae
Product: U4 spliceosomal RNA
Exons: 1
Source: RefSeq, a predicted model, not a curated record